UUGAACGCUGGCGGCAGGCCUAACACAUGCAAGUCGAGCGGUAGAGAGGUGCUUGCACCUCUUGAGAGCGGCGGACGGGUGAGUAAUGCCUAGGAAUCUGCCUGGUAGUGGGGGAUAACGCUCGGAAACGGACGCUAAUACCGCAUACGUCCUACGGGAGAAAGCAGGGGACCUUCGGGCCUUGCGCUAUCAGAUGAGCCUAGGUCGGAUUAGCUAGUUGGUGGGGUAAUGGCUCACCAAGGCGACGAUCCGUAACUGGUCUGAGAGGAUGAUCAGUCACACUGGAACUGAGACACGGUCCAGACUCCUACGGGAGGCAGCAGUGGGGAAUAUUGGACAAUGGGCGAAAGCCUGAUCCAGCCAUGCCGCGUGUGUGAAGAAGGUCUUCGGAUUGUAAAGCACUUUAAGUUGGGAGGAAGGGCAUUAACCUAAUACGUUAGUGUUUUGACGUUACCGACAGAAUAAGCACCGGCUAACUCUGUGCCAGCMGCCGCGGU
RNAcentral lists this ribosomal RNA (497 nucleotides) under Pseudomonas brassicacearum subsp. brassicacearum. RNAcentral's name for it is "bacterial SSU rRNA". It matches the Rfam family "Bacterial small subunit ribosomal RNA", at positions 30 to 521 of the family's 1533-position model. The record is from RNAcentral. Lineage: Bacteria; Pseudomonadati; Pseudomonadota; Gammaproteobacteria; Pseudomonadales; Pseudomonadaceae.